RNAcentral lists this transfer RNA (60 nucleotides) under Alectorobius peruvianus. RNAcentral describes it as "tRNA-Glu". The record is from RNAcentral. Lineage: Eukaryota; Metazoa; Arthropoda; Arachnida; Ixodida; Argasidae.
AUUUUUAUGGUGUAUUCAACACUUAACAUUUUCAUUGUUACAUAGCCAUCGCUAAAAAUA